This 403-nucleotide ribosomal RNA is filed under the name bacterium. Its description in RNAcentral is "partial 16S ribosomal RNA". It matches the Rfam family "Bacterial small subunit ribosomal RNA", at positions 355 to 776 of the family's 1533-position model. The record is from RNAcentral.
UGGGGAAUAUUGCACAAUGGGGGAAACCCUGAUGCAGCGACGCCGCGUGAACGAAGAAGGCAUUCGUAUCGUAAAGUUCUUUCCUAUGGGAAGAUAAUGACAGUACUAUAGAAGAAAGCUCCGGCUAAAUACGUGCCAGCAGCCGCGGUAAUACGUAUGGAGCGAGCGUUGUCCGGAAUUAUUGGGCGUAAAGGGUACGCAGGCGGUUUAAUAAGUCGAAUGUUAAAGAUCGGGGCUCAACCCCGCAAAGCAUUGGAAACUGGUAAACUUGAGUAGUGGAGAGGAAAGUGGAAUUCCUAGUGUAGUGGUGAAAAACGUAGAUAUUAGGAGGAAUACCAGUAGCGAAGGCGACUUUCUGGACACAAACUGACGCUGAGGUACGAAAGCGUGGGGAGCAAACAGG